GGGCAGAGGGGCCGAUGGGUACGUGUGGCACCUGGGGGCGAUUUGCACAGGCUGCUGGCCUGCUCAUCCGCUCCAGUUACAGAGAUUUGUGUGCGCAAGCAAGCGGCGGGAGGGCUCGGCCCCCAAGAGGCCCAGUGCCCAGGGAGACAAGGCCCAAGGGAAGAGAGCUGGGCCUCUGCUGGGAUGCCCACCACAGGACCUGGAGAAAUGUAGAGUCCCUCUCUGGGCCUAGUUCCCCUUGGGGACCCGUGAAACCACUGUGUCCCUCACUUCUAGACGAGACACAGGGCUGACCUGGGGCUGGGAAGCCAGCUGUGAGGAGCAGGCUGCGUAGCGUGUAGGCCCAGGUGGUCUGUGGCGUGGACGGUCACUGCGGGGAGGACACUGAAUGCCAGAGCAAGCAGCCAGGACUUAUCAGGAGGCCAAGUGGAGCCACUGAAGCAUUCAGCACAAGGACCCUGGUGGCGGCUGUCGGGUCCACUCCUGGCUCCUGCUCCAGCCGCGCGAUGUCCUGACGGUCUGGAAAACCCCCUGCGUCUUGUUCUUUGUACGUAAAACAAAAGCGAGGUUGGAACGGGUUCAGAACAGAGAAACCCCUUGCCUCUCUCUCUGGACAUCCCAGCGCCAAAAGCUCUGGCCAGAGGAUGCUCAGAGUCGGGCAACAGGGCGCAAGGAGGCAGGGAAUAUGCACAGCACGAGGAGGCAGAGCUGUCACCUGGACAGCAGGGAGGCUGGCGGGCGAGGAAGCAGGUAUCCCUUGGGGCAGGGGCCCAGGGGCCCAAGGUGGUCCUGUGAGCUGGAGACGGCAGGCAUUGGGCAGAACCUCAACUGGGGGGCCUGAACCCCAAUUGGUGUCAUUAGGGGAGCCAGCUGUGCAGCCGUGAGCCAUUGCUUAAGGAAAUGAAACUCGGGGAGGCGGCAGGAAUAAAACAUCCUGUCUGGAUGACGAGAAUGCCACAGGGCCAGCCACAACCCUCCGCUUCGCUGCUGGUCUCUUCUGCAGCUGCUGCCCCCCCAGGCUGUGAUCCCCAACUUCUCCCCACUCCUCUGCCCUCUGAGAGAUGGGGACAGGUGCCCCACAGGAUGGAUAUCUCUCCGCUGACCACACGUCCCCUUGGACUCUCUCUAAGCCUGGUUUCCUCAUCUGUAAAAUGGGGCUAUAAUGAUGCUUGCCCCAGAGGGUCAAUGGGAGGAAUAAAUUAAACCACGUGCAAGGGGGCAUGGCAUAUACAAAGCGCCUGGGACUUCUGGCUGCUGGUGUGAUCUGGUGUCACACCACACAGGGGCCCUGAGAGGCAGAGACACUCUGCACAUCGUACAGAAGAGGAAAACUGGGGCACGGCGAGUUGAAGGGAUGUGCCCAUGAUCACACUGCAGUUCUAACCACAUAGCUCCCCAGCCUGGGUUCUUGCCAUGGUGCUGCCUGGCAGUGUGGAAGGGAAUGGGUGGGAGUAGAUUGGGUGCAGUGUCCACAUACCCUUCACCCGGGCCCCAGCGCCCUCCUCCUCUCUCUCCUGGCCCGUCUCCCCACCCCUGCCAAAGGCAGGCCCUCAGAGGGCUCAGGUCUGCAGCCCCAUGAGCAUCCCUUUCUGACUCCCGCGUCCCUCCUUGGGCUACAGUGCCUCUCUUAGGUCUAACCUGAGUCCUCCCCGUGUUAGCUAUGGCCCGCUUCCCCCCAACCUGCCUUGUGGGCUGGCAAAUGGCAGCCACUCUUAUUGAGAUGCACCCCCGGCCCCCUGAUGCAGAAAAGAGGUCACCAACCCCUUCUCCAGGGCAUCGUCCUUUCUGGCCCAGGGGUCCCCUGAAGCUCUACCAGCCUCCCCGGCAGGAGGAGCCGCAGCUCCUCAGACUCAGAGAAGUCACCGUGAGCCCAAGAGAGAAAUCAGGCAGAGCAGGAAAUCAGACAUCUGGUUCUGAGCAAAGGUCCAGAGCCCUAUUCCUCCAGCUAGCACUUCUGGUGCCUAAAUCCAGCAGGGCAAGAGUAUAAGAUGCCAAGUGGGGCCAGGCAGGAGCCAGCUUCCCCAGCACACCUGGCCAGGUGAGCAGGCGGUGGAGCCAAGAGCCAGCUCAUCGCUUGGGUGUAAACAGCAGCCCAGUGGGAAGUUGGCAGCCACCUCCUGUGCCCUUUCCCCAGCCCCGUCCCCACGAGCCCCACCCCAGGGAAAGAGGGUGUCCCAACUUGUUGGAGGAGUUUCCAUCUCACAGCUGUGUCCAUACCGGGUGGGUGUGUGGGGUGGCUGAAGGGGCCCACAGACAAUCUUUGUCCUCCAGACCCACCCCCUUCUUCUCUGGUGCUGGGACGGCGCCAGGGUUCUUGGAAUGCCGAGGCCCCCCUUGCACCCACCCCACCCCAGAUGCCUCUGCCACUCACUCCCAGGGCCCACGCCAGCAGAGCAGAGCAAGGGCAGUCUGUGAGCAGGAUCGUGCCCUGAGGGGGGUGCCCCUUGGCUCCUGUUCCCACCAGAUGGGAGCCGUAUCCCUUGGAAGAAAGGGUGCAGCUCCAAGGUGUCCAGAAGGAGGAAGAAAACAAGUCUCCAUCAAGCCCUGCAUUUUACAGACAUGAUCUGGGAGAUGGGGAUUGCCACCCCUACUUUAAAGAUGGGGAAACUAAGGCUAGACCAGCAGUUGUAUGAGGGCUUGGACUCUCUCUGCCUUGUUUUCCCCUGUCUCCCUGGUACCUGGCACACAGCAAGAGCUCAUGGUGUGCUUGUGGAGUGGAUGAAUGAGGCUCAGAGAGGGCAAGUGACCUGGCCAGAAAGUUGCUCAACGGGGAAUCAACCCAGUUUGAAUCCUAAAGCCAGGCUGUUCCUGAGACCCACCCACUGAGGUGGGGUAGCACUCGUGCAUGCAUGAAUGUGCACCCACCCUGCUGUGAGAGUCCUGUCCACGCUCAUAUACACACCUACACUCACAGCCCUCAGCCGAGAGCCCCCACCUGCCACCCCACUCAAGCCCAGUGGUGGGCCCUCUCCCACCCCCUGCCACCUCUGGCAGGCACUCAAACUUCCUUCUGCACUGGUCUCACACCCUCCUCUGUCACCACCCCCCUCCUCCACUCCUGGAGAAGGCAGGAUGGUGCAUGCCCUCUUCCACCCCCACAGCCCUGGCGCCCUGGCGCCCUGUCUUCCUCCUCAGGCCCCAGUAGCCACACUGGCACCACUGCGCUGGAGAAGACUGGGGAAGCACAGAACGUCAGAGCAGGGGCGCAAUGUGCAGACGGACGGUCAGCCUCGGGCCAAGGACCGGGCAGCAUGAGGGCCACCGUGGUAGAGCUGGUACCCAGGCAGAGUCGGGGGCCUGGCUGUCUGCAGGGCAGUUCCAAGACUGGGGGCCACCUCCCUGCUGUGUCACAAGGUCGAGCCCCAGGGAGCAGCUGACACUGCAGACCUGAAGGACCAGAACCUCUUCCUGCUUUGCGCAACCCCAGACCUGCUGGGGGGUCAGCUGGGGUCUCAGGUCUCCAGGCAAGGGGGCCGGGGACUCUCUCCAAAGCAGGUUGAACCUGCCGUGUGGCCCUCCUGCUUCCCCACUAAUAAAGGGCCCACAGGGCAGGGGUGGUCAGGGAGGCAGGGACCCCUGCAAGUACAGAUGGCACGUGCCAGACUACGCUUGAGACCCUCCUCAGUUUUUCACUGACCCUCACAGCAACCCUGGGAGACAGGCACUAAUUUAUCUUAGGUACCAAUAUCAUUCCCAUUUUCGAGAGGGGUAAACCCAGUCCCAGAGAGUUAAGGCACCCGACCAGGGCCCCCAAUUCCUGGCAAACAAGAGGCGUUUGCUAAGUAUUUGUUGAGUGGAUGAAGUCGAGGGGGGAGUGACUCGCUCAAGAGCAUCAGCAGAGUCAGAUCUGAACCCAGGUCUGACCCCGAAGCCCCUUGGUUUCUCUGCCUCGACUGAACUCUGCAGCCUUGGGACCGACGGACAAGCACAGCUGACAUAUUUACCCCUCACGGGCAUCAUGAGAUGUGACCAGCUUUCCGGGGCUCCACGCUGUUUCCUUUCACCCCGAGAAAGGCAAAAGCAGCCCCUGACAGCCAGGAGCCGGCCUGGCCCUCCCAGCUAGGCCACGGUGUGCUCCUGUGGAGCACAAAAAAUUUCACAGAUCACCAGCAUCAGACAAGGCCACUCGAUGACUGUGAUGGAUUAAGACAAAAAACAAGACCGCUCUGUAAUCGUGUCUGAACACAGACAAAAAAAUGAACGUGGUCCAAACCACAAAAAUGAUUGAAUGUCCCUUUAUCCUGGCUAAAUGAGUGACAGCUGCUUCUUUGCCAAUCACAGCUUUAGCUUCAAUUCAUCCCACUUCCCUUCUAGACUAAAAUGAUGACGGUACCCAAUCACAGAAUCACCCCUGCUUUGUGAUGGCAUCCAACCCAGAGCAAAGCUCCUCUCCCUGGAGCCGUCCUCCCCAGGAGCACCUGACGCCAGCCUGAGUCCCUUCCAGCCCUUCCUCGCCCCCUCGCUGGGGCGCCCCGCAGUUUCUUGAGGUGCGUGUUCUCCCUCGUUGCAAUAAGCGGUAAAGCCAACUUGCUUCACUUGGUUCGGGUGUGUUUCUGGCGGCCUUUGGCUGGAAGGCAUCCCCAAAGUCUGAGGACAACUGAGCAAGUCGUGUUUCCUUCAGCCCAUUUUGCGGAUGCCCCUGGAGCUGCGGGCCAGGAGAGCGCCAGCCCUGAUGGAGCGUGGUGGUGGCAGAGGAGCCGAGAUCUCCUAGGAGCCCGUGUUUCAGGCUCUCUGACUGGAGAACCAUUAACUCCUGCAGCACCUACCAGCCCGUCCGCCACAGCCCACCUGUGAGCCUUGAAACCCGGCCACCCCCCAACCAUGGCUGGGCUCCAAGCACCUGCGGAGGGAGGAUUGGAGAAGGGAACCAGCACUGGACCAGGAGUCAGGAGACCUGGGCUCUGGUCUUGCCUCUGCCUCUCAUUGGCCUGAGGCUCAGUUUAUCCAUCUGUACGACAGACCGGGGUGGGGCUGAGUCUGGGAAAUGAUCAAAGGAAGCCCUCCUCAGUUAGAUCACGGCCCCAGCUGCCUGCUAUAACCUGUCAGUGCUCAGGACAGAAAGCUUCUAGACUCCCCUCCCAACGCCUGGUCCCCUGAGGGUUAACAAACUUUCCCCUUCCAGGCUUGAUGUUGUGGGGUGACCCGGGGAGCAGGUGAGGGGCCGGGGUCCUACCUGUCCCCAGUCACUAGAAUCCGGGCUGGGCAGAGACCCUUCCUGAGAGCUCAGGGCUAAGAGUUCAUGGCCUCUGCAGCCCGUCCCUCCCUGUCGCCCAGAUCGGGGCCCCAUCCAAGCCAAACAGACCGGAGGAGGAGCCGGAGGUGCCACAGGAAGGGCCUGGGGGCCCGCGGGGGACAGGCUGGCAGGGGCAGUCAAGGAAGGCAGUCUGUGUAGCCUCAUUCAGCUCUACAUCCUGCUUCUCCUGCGCAAGGGGAUGUGGCCGGCCGCCAUUCUGCCCCAGGCGGGAGCAGAGGAAGGGGACCCAAGCGGAGGGAUGAGGCAGAGCCAAGGACCUUUCCUGAAAGGAAUUGCUUAGCGCAGAAGGUCAAGGGAGUUGGCUUUCCCUCAGGCGUGGGAGCCUCUGCUCCUUGCAGUCCUUGGGAGGGGAAGAGCGAAGAAGAGAAUCCAGACAGGGGGGCCGGGCCCACCUCCCAGCUUCACCCCUCGAUCCCCUCCUGCCUCGCCCUCCAUUCUGAUUCACCAGCUCCGCUCUGCACCUUCACAGAAGAUCUGGAAUGCCCUUCCCUCCCUGACCCCUGUUUGCCAGGUAGUUGUUACACGUCUCUCAAACCUCGGCUUAAAUACUACUUCCUCUUGGAAGCCCCCCUGCUUGGAUCUCCUUGCAGUGUACCGUGCGGCUCCCUCUGCUUCCCCCUCCCACCCUUCAUCUCGCUGGGUUGAAACCAACUGUCUAUUACCUUCCUCGAGGGUAAGGGACAGCCUCUGUGUUGUUCAUAGCUGAAUCCCCAGGGCCCAAAAUGGGCCUGGCAUACUGUGGGUGCCACAUAAGUACUUGAUGAUGGGUAAAUACAGCAAUGGAGAUGUGGACUCUAGGAACUAGAGCUGGGAGCAAGGGACCUUGAGUUGGGAAAGCUUCUGGUGGCAAAGUUCUGUGCAGGAAUUUGAGAUUAGGAGAUGCCUGAGAUGAGUUCUUGGCCUGGACACAGCCUGGGAAAUGCCAAAGGGAAAUUAUGGCGUGGCUGGGGCUUCCACCUCCAGGGACGGUGGGAUAGGUAAUUUGGACCAACCCUCCUGCUGAAGACAAUUAAAAUGCCUAGAUUCAGUUAAAAAAGAUCAUCUUCUUAAGGCCAACAAAUGAUUAACAAGGUAGUGAAGAGUUCCCUAACAGAAUCUGGAAAGUGAGGAUCCAGGGAGGAAAGCCCUGUGUGGAAGACCACGUCUGCCCGAGGGCAUUGUCAAUCUGGAAGAAACGGUACUGAGCUGUAUUGUUUGUUUAUUUAUUUUUUGGGGGGAAGAUUAGCCCUGAGCUAACAUCUGCCGCCAAUCCUCCUCUUUUUUGCUGAGGAAAACUGGCCCUGAGCUAAAAUCCGCUCCCAUCUUCCUCUACUUUGUAUGUAGGACGCCUACCACAGCAUGGCUUGCCAAGCGGUUCCACAUCCACACCCGGGACCCGAACCAGCAAACCCCAGGCUGCUGAAGCCGAACGUGGAAACAAGACACCAAAAGCAAGAAUCAGCACAAAAAAGGGCAACAGAAAUAAUAAGUAUGCGACAUGUGGAAGUGUUAGCUAGUCUUGCGCUGGUAAUCACAUUGCAAUAAAUGAAUGUAUCAAAUCGACACAUUGUAUGCCCUAAACUUACACAAUGUUACAUGAUGAUAAUAUCUCAAUUAAAAAAAAAAGGACAACAGAAAUAGACCACAAGGACUUUAGGUAUUGGAAUUACCAAAAAUUAUGGUCUUAGAAUCACAGGCUCAAAGAUCCUCAAGGACAAGUUCAUCCUAAAAUGCAUGUGGAAAAACAAGGGACCAGAGUAGCCAAAACAACCUCGAAAAAGAAGAACAAAUGUGAAGGACUCACACUUCCUGAUUUCAAAGCUUCCCACAAAGCUACCGGAAUCAAGACUGCGUGCUACCAGUGUAAGGACAGACACGUAGAUCAAUGGAGUAGAAUUGAAAGUCCAGAAAUAAACCCAUAUACAAUGGUCAAUUGACUUUUGACAAGGGUACCAACAAACUCAAUGGGGAAAUCAUCUCUUCAAUAAAUAAUGCAGGGACAACUGGAUUUUCAUGCAAAAGAAUGACGUUGGACCUCUACUUCACACCAUACACCCACAUACACCAUUAACUCAAAAUGGAUUAAAGUUCUAAAACUGUGAGCUAAAAUUAUAAAACUGUUAGAAGAAAACAGGUGUAAAUCUUCGUGACCUUGGAUUAAGCAAUGGUUUCUUAGAUAUGACAUCUAAGCGUAAGCAAAGAAUGAAUAGACAAAUUGGACUUGAUCAAAAUUUAAAACUUGAGCUUCAAAGGACACUACGUGAAAAGACAAUCCACAGAAUGGAAAAAAAUAUUUGCAACUGAAAUAUCUGAUAGGGGCCUCAUAUCUGGAAUAUAUAAAGAACUCUUACAGUUCAACAAUCAAAUGCCAAAUAAUCCGAUUGAAACAUGAGCAAGGAUUUGAAUAGACAUUUCUCUAAAGAUGAUGUAUGAAUGGCCAAUAAACACAUGAAAAGAUGAUCAACGUCAUUAAUGGUUAUGAAAUUGUAAAUCAAAACCACAAAGAGAUACCACUUCACACCCACUAAGACGACUACAAUAAAAAAGACACAUUAACAAGUGUUGGCAGAGAGGCGGAGAAAGUGAAGUCUUUAUACACUCCUAGUGGGGAUAUAAAAUGGUGCAGCCACUUUGGAAAACAGUUUGGCGGUGUCUCAAAAAGCUAAAGAUGGAGUUCCCGUAUGCUGCAGCAAUUCCACGCCGUGGAAGACAUCAAGAGAAUGGAAAACAUGUUUACAGAGAAACUUAUACUUGAAUGUUCAUCACAGUGUUAUUCGUAAUAGCCCCAAAGUGGAAACAAUCCAAACGUCCAUCCUCGAAAUAGGGUGCACCCAGACAAUGGAAUAUUACUCAGCCAUAAAAAGGAAUGAAGUCCUGACACGUCAUGAAUGAACCUCGAAAACAUGCUGCGUGAAAGAAGCUUGACACAACCCUGCAUGUUCGUUCCAUUUAUACGAAAUGUCCAGAACAGGUGAAGCCAUG
Molecule: long non-coding RNA, 8215 nt
Organism: Equus caballus (horse)
Lineage: Eukaryota; Metazoa; Chordata; Mammalia; Perissodactyla; Equidae
Source: Ensembl